Molecule: ribosomal RNA, 512 nt
Filed under: Montrouzierella sp. JGZ-63
Lineage: Eukaryota; Metazoa; Arthropoda; Insecta; Coleoptera; Chrysomelidae
Description: partial 12S ribosomal RNA
Source: RNAcentral
ACACAUUUUAGAGCCACAUUCAAUUUAAUUAAUAAUUAAAAUUACAUUCAAAACCAAAUUUAAAGUUUUAAUAAUAAAACUUAUCCUCAAAUAAAUUUAUUGUAAUCCAUCUCUACUAAUAUAAGCUGCACCUUGAUCUGAUUUUUAAUAAAAUUAAAUAUUUUAAUUAUAUAUUUUUAAAAAUAAUUAACAACAACGAUAUACAAGCAAAAUACAAGUUUUGUUAAUCGUGGAUUAUCGAUUACAGGACAGAUUCCCCUGAUUGGAAUAAAAAACCGCCAAAUUUUUUGAUUUUAAAGUUCGUAACUAACAUUUUUCAGGUUAUAAUAACUCAACAUCUAAAAUAAUGGGGUAUCUAAUCCCAGUUUAUUUUUUAGAUUUCUUAGCCUCUUAACCAAAAUAAUUAAUUAAAUAAUAAAUAAGAUUCCACCCAAUAUUCAUUAAAAUAAAAAUAAAUUUUUAAUAACUAAAUAUAACCAAAAAAAAAUAAUAGUGUUAUUUGUUUAACCGCA